CCUACGGGUGGCAGCAGUGGGGAAUAUUGGACAAUGGGCGAAAGCCUGAUCCAGCCAUGCCGCGUGUGUGAAGAAGGCCUUCGGGUUGUAAAGCACUUUCAGUGGGGAAGAAAGCCUUGGGGCUAAUACCCUCGAGGAAGGACAUCACCCACAGAAGAAGCACCGGCUAACUCCGUUCCAGCAGCCGCGGUAAUACGGAGGGUGCGAGCGUUAAUCGGAAUUACUGGGCGUAAAGCGCGCGUAGGCGGUCUGAUAAGCCGGUUGUGAAAGCCCCGGGCUCAACCUGGGAACGGCAUCCGGAACUGUCAGGCUAGAGUGCAGGAGAGGAAGGUAGAAUUCCCGGUGUAGCGGUGAAAUGCGUAGAGAUCGGGAGGAAUACCAGUGGAGAAGGCGGCCUUCUGGACUGACACUGACGCUGAGGUGCGAAAGCGUGGGUAGCAAACAGGAUUAGAUACCCCAGUAGUC
This 465-nucleotide ribosomal RNA is filed under the name Vreelandella stevensii. RNAcentral's name for it is "partial 16S ribosomal RNA". It matches the Rfam family "Bacterial small subunit ribosomal RNA", at positions 338 to 795 of the family's 1533-position model. The record is from RNAcentral. Lineage: Bacteria; Pseudomonadati; Pseudomonadota; Gammaproteobacteria; Oceanospirillales; Halomonadaceae.